Molecule: ribosomal RNA, 365 nt
Filed under: Tsukamurella tyrosinosolvens
Lineage: Bacteria; Bacillati; Actinomycetota; Actinomycetes; Mycobacteriales; Tsukamurellaceae
Description: bacterial SSU rRNA
Rfam family: Bacterial small subunit ribosomal RNA
Source: RNAcentral
UUUUUAUGGAGAGUUUGAUCCUGGCUCAGGACGAACGCUGGCGGCGUGCUUAACACAUGCAAGUCGAACGGUAAGGCCCUUUCGGGGGUACACGAGUGGCGAACGGGUGAGUAACACGUGGGUGACCUGCCCUGUACUUCGGGAUAAGCCUGGGAAACUGGGUCUAAUACCGGAUAUGACCUUCUCCUGCAUGGGGGUUGGUGGAAAGUUUUUGCGGUACAGGAUGGGCCCGCGGCCUAUCAGCUUGUUGGUGGGGUAAUGGCCUACCAAGGCGACGACGGGUAGCCGGCCUGAGAGGGCGACCGGCCACACUGGGACUGAGACACGGCCCAGACUCCUACGGGAGGCAGCAGUGGGGAAUAUUG